This 410-nucleotide ribosomal RNA is filed under the name uncultured eukaryote. RNAcentral's name for it is "eukaryotic LSU rRNA". It matches the Rfam family "Eukaryotic large subunit ribosomal RNA", at positions 929 to 1330 of the family's 3401-position model. The record is from RNAcentral.
GACUAAUCGAACCAUCUAGUAGCUGGUUCCCUCCGAAGUUUCCCUCAGGAUAGCUGGAACUUUUUUUGAAUAGUUUUAUCAGGUAAAGCGAAUGAUUAGAAGCUCUGGGGAUGAAACAUCCUCGACUUAUUCUCAAACUUUAAAUAGGUAAGAUGACUGUAGUACUUAAUCUGACUAUUAGUCUCUUGAAUAGUAAGUUCUUAGUGGGCCAUUUUUGGUAAGCAGAACUGGCGAUGUGGGAUGAACCAAACGUAAAGUUAAAGUGCCUAAAAAUACGUUCAUCAGACACCACAAAAGGUGUUGAUUCAUCUUUGACAGUUGGGACAGUGGCCAUGGAAGUCGGAAUCUGCUAAGGAGUGUGUAACAACUCACCAACCGAAUGAAUCAGCCCUGAAAAAUGGAUGGCGCUC